CCGAAUGAGUUUCUGACCUAUCAACUCGAGACGGCGGGGUAGAGGCCCGCCGCGGUAACGACGGGUAACGGGGAAUCAGGGUUCGAUUCCGGAGAGGGAGCCCGAGAAACGGCUACCACUUCCAAGGAAGGCAGCAGGCGCGCAACUUACCCUAAUCUCGAUUCGAGGAGGUAGUGACAAGAAAUACCGAUGCGGGACCCUACGGGUGCCGCGUUCGGAAUGAGUACGAUUCGAACCACCUAACGAGGAACGAUCGGAGGGCAAGUCUGGUGCCAGCAGCCGCGGUAAUUCCAGCUCCAAUAGCGUACGUUAAAGUUGCUGCAGUUAAAAAGCUCGUAGUUGAACGUUCGGGUUCCGCGGGACGGGGCCGCCCCGCGAGGGACGGCGCCGCCCCGGGGCUCGUGAUAUCUCAUCU
This 415-nucleotide ribosomal RNA is filed under the name uncultured eukaryote. Its description in RNAcentral is "bacterial SSU rRNA". It matches the Rfam family "Eukaryotic small subunit ribosomal RNA", at positions 295 to 709 of the family's 1831-position model. The record is from RNAcentral.